RNAcentral lists this ribosomal RNA (1420 nucleotides) under uncultured bacterium. RNAcentral describes it as "partial 16S ribosomal RNA". It matches the Rfam family "Bacterial small subunit ribosomal RNA". The record is from RNAcentral.
GGGAACUCAGGCUAAUACCGCAUACGUCCUACGGGAGAAAGCAGGGGAUCUUCGGACCUUGCGCUAUCGGAUGAGCCCAUGUCGGAUUAGCUUGUUGGUGAGGUAAUGGCUCACCAAGGCGACGAUCCGUAGCUGGUCUGAGAGGAUGAUCAGCCACACUGGGACUGAGACACGGCCCAGACUCCUACGGGAGGCAGCAGUGGGGAAUAUUGGACAAUGGGCGAAAGCCUGAUCCAGCCAUGCCGCGUGUGUGAAGAAGGCCUUCGGGUUGUAAAGCACUUUCAGCGAGGAAGAACGCCUUGGGAUUAAUACUCCCGAGGAAAGACAUCACUCGCAGAAGAAGCACCGGCUAACUCUGUGCCAGCAGCCGCGGUAAUACAGAGGGUGCAAGCGUUAAUCGGAAUUACUGGGCGUAAAGCGAGCGUAGGUGGCUUGAUAAGUCAGAUGUGAAAUCCCCGGGCUUAACCUGGGAACUGCAUCUGAUACUGUUAGGCUAGAAUAGGUGAGAGGAAGGUAGAAUUCCAGGUGUAGCGGUGAAAUGCGUAGAGAUCUGGAGGNAAUACCGAUGGCGAAGGCAGCCUUCUGGCAUCAUAUUGACACUGAGGUUCGAAAGCGUGGGUAGCAAACAGUGAUUAGAUACCCUGGUAGUCCACGCCGUAAACGAUGUCUACUAGUCGUUGGGUCCCUUGAGGACUUAGUGACGCAGCUAACGCAAUAAGUAGACCGCCUGGGGAGUACGGCCGCAAGGUUAAAACUCAAAUGAAUUGACGGGGGCCCGCACAAGNCGGUGGNAGCAUGNUGGUUUAAUUCGAAGCAACNGCGAAGAANCCUUACCAGGCCUUNGACANUCCNAAUGAACUUUCUAGAGAUAGNAUUGGUGNCCUUCNGGGAACANUUGAGANCANGGUGCUGCAUGGNCUGUCGUNCAGCUCNGUGUCGUGNAGANUNGUUGGGUUANANGUNCCCGNUAANCGAGCGCNNAANCCCUUGNUCCUUAGUUANCCANNGCANCGUANAUGGNUGGGCACNUCUNAAGGAGANCUGNCCGGUGNAUAANACNNCNGGAGGAANGGNUGGGGAUGNANCGUCAAGUCAUCAUGGCCCUUACGGCCUGGGCUACACACGUGCUACAAUGGUCGGUACAAAGGGUUGCCAAGCCGCGAGGUGGAGCUAAUCCCAUAAAACCGAUCGUAGUCCGGAUCGCAGUCUGCAACUCGACUGCGUUGAAGUCGGAAUCGCUAGUAAAUCGUGAAUCAGAAUGUCACGGUGAAAUACGUUCCCGGGCCUUGUACACACCGCCCGUCACACCAUGGGAGUGGGUUGCACCAGAAGUAGCUAGUCUAACCUUCGGGAGGACGGUUUACCACGGUGUGAUUUCAUGACUGGGGUGAAGUCGUAACAAGGGUAACCAAAUCACUAG